CGCUAUGCUCCUACGGGAGGCAGCAGUGGGGAAUAUUGCACAAUGGGCGCAAGCCUGAUGCAGCCAUGCCGCGUGUGUGAAGAAGGCCUUCGGGUUGUAAAGCACUUUCAGCAGUGAGGAAGGCGGAGUCGUUAAUAGCGGCCUCGUUUGACGUUAGCUGCAGAAGAAGCACCGGCUAACUCCGUGCCAGCAGCCGCGGUAAUACGGAGGGUGCGAGCGUUAAUCGGAAUUACUGGGCGUAAAGCGCAUGCAGGUGGUUUGUUAAGUCAGAUGUGAAAGCCCGGGGCUCAACCUCGGAAUAGCAUUUGAAACUGGCAGACUAGAGUACUGUAGAGGGGGUAGAAUUUCAGGUGUAGCGGUGAAAAUGCGUAGAGAUCUGAAGGAAUACCGGUGGCGAAGGCGGCCCCCUGGACAGAUACUGACACUCAGAUGCGAAAGCGUGGGGAGCAAACAGGAUUAGAUACCCUGGUAG
This 472-nucleotide ribosomal RNA is filed under the name uncultured bacterium. RNAcentral's name for it is "bacterial SSU rRNA". It matches the Rfam family "Bacterial small subunit ribosomal RNA", at positions 329 to 793 of the family's 1533-position model. The record is from RNAcentral.